Pomacea canaliculata is the source of this 312-nucleotide long non-coding RNA. RefSeq lists it as uncharacterized. Lineage: Eukaryota; Metazoa; Mollusca; Gastropoda; Architaenioglossa; Ampullariidae. The record is from RefSeq and is a predicted model, not a curated record. The transcript is spliced from 3 exons.
ACGAAGAAAACUUUGCAAGCGCUCACUUACUGUCCAGGCCUCGCUGGGUGACCGGACCCUGGACGGAGUGCUCGAAAACCUGUGGGGUGGGUACACAGAAACGCACUGCCCGUUGUGUCAAUGAACCCGUGGAGGGCAAGGAGGUCAAAGUGCCUAGAGUGGAGUGCCAGGGGCCCGAGCCUGUGACGUCACGCAAGUGCACCGUUGCGGACUGUCCUGAGAAAACGUCAUCACCGCCUGUCAUCAAGGCGGUGAACUACACCUUCACUCAGCUGCCGACGUCUCUAAAGCGACAGGCAUGCUGGUUUGGGA